RNAcentral lists this ribosomal RNA (253 nucleotides) under uncultured bacterium. RNAcentral describes it as "partial 16S ribosomal RNA". It matches the Rfam family "Bacterial small subunit ribosomal RNA", at positions 524 to 776 of the family's 1533-position model. The record is from RNAcentral.
GACGAACCUGACAAACGUUAUUCGGAAUCACUGGGCUUAAAGGGUGCGUAGGCUGUGCAGAAAGUUGGGUGUGAAAUCCCUCGGCUUAACCGAGGAACUGCGCCCAAAACUACUGUGCUUGAGUGAGAUAGAGGUGAGCGGAACUUAGGGUGGAGCGGUGAAAUGCGUUGAUAUCCUAAGGAACACCGGUGGCGAAAGCGGCUCACUGGGUCUCAACUGACGCUGAUGCACGAAAGCUAGGGUAGCGAACGGG